This is a long non-coding RNA of Priapulus caudatus, 1735 nucleotides long. RefSeq lists it as uncharacterized. The record is from RefSeq and is a predicted model, not a curated record. NCBI's taxonomy places the organism in Eukaryota, Metazoa, Priapulida, Priapulimorpha, Priapulimorphida, Priapulidae. The transcript is spliced from 3 exons.
UUUCAGGACCCUACUAAAGCAGAUGCUAUGAUGAAAAUACAAGCAGAUUUAGAUGAGACAAAAGUCAUAAUGCAUAACACCAUUCAAGCUGUGUUAGACAGAGGGGAGAAGCUAGACGACCUAGUGGCCAAGUCUGAUGAGCUGGGCAUGCAAUCCAAGGCUUUCUAUAAGACGGCGAAAAAGACGAAUGCUUGUUGCAAGUAUGGCUAGGCUUCCACAGGUGGUUACAAAUGUCAAAGCUAUUGUACAGAAUUUCCAAUGAGGCAUACACUGGGAAUACACCUGAUUCAACUCACUGAAUUUUAGCUAGUGAGUGAAAACUAGUUGCCAAGUUAUUUUGCUAUAAAUUGACAAUUCCCAAUUUUCCUGAUAAAGCUGACGUUGACCUCACCAGACAGUCUGCAGAGUCCCAUGUACAGUCAACCCUGUGUAAAUGCUCACCUCGAUACAACAAACACUUGUCUAUAAAAGACACUUGACAUUUCCCUUGGGUGACCCAUAUUUACAGCUUUGACUGUACACGCAUAUCUUGAUGACGUCGCUUCUGCUGUCAUUCACAACCAGAUUUCGUUGAAGAUAGAUCGAUCAGCUGUAUUCCCAUCUUACUGUCUUAAUAGCAAUCGACGGUGAUAGGCACCUCAUAUUGUGUUUCUCAUGAUUUCUGUUUGCUCAUGUAAUAUCCACUGGUAAUCUAGACUGGCUGUAAUGGGAGAGGUUACAGUUUGGGUUGGGACAGUGAAUCAGAUGUAAAAGUAGUGUACGUGCAUCUCACAUCUAUAUAUAGCAAGCAGGAGUCGAAAUUAACAUGUUUCCAUUUUUCCGGGACAAGGUCUGCCCGAAAAAUCGAGUUAACUAGGCAAUUUUACGGUGGGAAACAGUUUGUUUAUUAUCUAUUCAGUCAGUAUUUCACCGUUACGCUCUCUAACCUUGCUGAAAGAACCCCUAGUGUAGAACCUGUGGCUAGAAAUAAGUGGUAUACGCCAUGCUCAUUGUUUAUCUGGAAAAUCGCAAACUUGUACAGAAAAGGAGAUUUUGACUAACUUUUCCAGGGCAAAAGUCGCAAAUUUCUUUUAGUUUCAAUCCAUGACUACACGUGUGAAGCGUUAUAGUGAAUGAGUUGAUUCUCAGUGAUGCCAUAGAAUUAUUAAAUUUACUGACAGGAGAGAGGCCCCUAUAUAAAGAAAUAAUGUACGCUUUAAUUGUGGAGCUUGUGUUAUUUUUUGCCCUCAACAUAUAGUGUCUUGUCUGAUUUAAUCAGUGGGUGCUUGAUGUAUUUGUCUAAUCUAAUGCCAGAACUAAUGUACUAGAAUAUUGAAUGCAGACUGCAUCUCUUUUUGAAGUAAAAAUUAGUAAUCGUUAAAAAUUGUGCCUUAUUUUUCCUAACUUGUAUCAGGCCAUUAUCUAGAAGCAGCUUAGCUGUAAUUCACAUUUUUGUGUUCACAACAUGGUGACAAUUUCUGGUCUCUAUAUACAGAGGAAGAGCUCCAAUUUUUUUCUUUGUCUGUAUAUGAAGGGAAAUCUCCAAAUUUACUCUGUAAAUAUAGGUAGAUUUCCCAUCCCGACGUCCAUCUAUCUGGAAGCAUUUGCAUUCAAGUGUGAAAGGAAGUAGUGCGUCAAACUAACUGGCAAGCUAAAGCAAUGUGAAAUAUAGUGCUUAAUGUGCUCACGUUGUCGUAAAUAGUAAUAGCUUAUAUUUUAACAAUUCAGUGAUGCAUAGACAGAUACUCACAUAUAA